RNAcentral lists this ribosomal RNA (253 nucleotides) under uncultured bacterium. RNAcentral describes it as "partial 16S ribosomal RNA". It matches the Rfam family "Bacterial small subunit ribosomal RNA", at positions 524 to 776 of the family's 1533-position model. The record is from RNAcentral.
UACGUAGGUGGCAAGCGUUGUUCGGAAUUACUGGGCGUAAAGGGCGCGUAGGCGGCGGGGUAAGUCAGGUGUGAAAUCUCGGGGCUCAACCCCGAAACUGCACUUGAUACUGCCUUGCUCGAGUACUGGAGAGGAGAUUGGAAUUUACGGUGUAGCAGUGAAAUGCGUAGAUAUCGUAAGGAAGACCAGUGGCGAAGGCGAAUCUCUGGACAGUUACUGACACUGAGGCACGAAGGCCAGGGGAGCAAACGGG